AUGAACUGCCCUUCUGCUACUCAAAGAGCAUGGAUACACCAUGGAAACAGCACCAAGAGCAACUGGACCAACAACUUCAGAGAGAAAUUGGGCUCCAAUAGCUUGCAUCAAGUUCUGAAGAAGAAAGAGAACUUCGAACAUAGAGAUAGUAGUCCAGCCGAGCUCCAAAAUCAUUGGCUUAGCCUGCAGAUUCACCAACAAGUCUCCUUGCACCUGAAGAAGUCCAUCCUUGCAACUGAAAUAGUACAAGAACAAAUGAAGCAGAGUAUCUUGAACAGAGAAGAAAUAGACAACCAAGAAGCAAAGAGCUAG
This 312-nucleotide ribosomal RNA is filed under the name Triticum aestivum (bread wheat). RNAcentral describes it as "partial small subunit ribosomal RNA". The record is from RNAcentral. Lineage: Eukaryota; Viridiplantae; Streptophyta; Magnoliopsida; Poales; Poaceae.